RNAcentral lists this ribosomal RNA (491 nucleotides) under uncultured bacterium. RNAcentral's name for it is "partial 16S ribosomal RNA". It matches the Rfam family "Bacterial small subunit ribosomal RNA", at positions 29 to 507 of the family's 1533-position model. The record is from RNAcentral.
GUGAACGCUGGCGGUAGGCCUAACACAUGCAAGUCGAACGGCAGCACAGUAAGAGCUUGCUCUUACGGGUGGCGAGUGGCGGACGGGUGAGGAAUACAUCGGAAUCUACUUUUUCGUGGGGGAUAACGUAGGGAAACUUACGCUAAUACCGCAUACGACCUACGGGUGAAAGCAGGGGAUCUUCGGACCUUGCGCGAUUGAAUGAGCCGAUGUCGGAUUAGCUAGUUGGCGGGGUAAAGGCCCACCAAGGCGACGAUCCGUAGCUGGUCUGAGAGGAUGAUCAGCCACACUGGAACUGAGACACGGUCCAGACUCCUACGGGAGGCAGCAGUGGGGAAUAUUGGACAAUGGGCGCAAGCCUGAUCCAGCCAUACCGCGUGGGUGAAGAAGGCCUUCGGGUUGUAAAGCCCUUCUGUUGGGAAAGAAAAGCAGCAGGUUAAUACCCCGCUGUUCUGACGGUACCCAAAGAAUAAGCACCGGCUAACUUCGUG